Arachis ipaensis is the source of this 506-nucleotide non-coding RNA. The record is from RefSeq and is a predicted model, not a curated record. NCBI's taxonomy places the organism in Eukaryota, Viridiplantae, Streptophyta, Magnoliopsida, Fabales, Fabaceae.
CACAAACUACAAACAAACAACUUGCACGGAAGAGGUCAAUAGACUUCCAUCACUUCUUUUUUUAUCACGAGAAGAAGCAGACGAUGAAACAGAAGUUCCAAGGGAAACAAUAAUCAGUCAUUUUUUUUUUCAUUUUCACCCAUGAAUACACUUUUUUUCUCUCAAGGUUGAGUAUGUGUUUUUUUUAUAUGAACUAGAUUAUUCUUUCAUUGAAUCAUUUGUUUUUAUUUAGUUUAAUUUUUAUGUUUGUUCAUUUAGAAAAAAGAAGUAACAAGAGGAUUGAGCUUUGUUUAGGAUAGUCAAUUUUUUUCUUCCUUGUUUUGUUGGUGAUUUUGAAUCAAAUUGAGGAAUUAAGAAUGGAUAUUGGAGAAAUGAAAAAUAAGAAAGAUCAAUCUACACACAAGAACAGAAAGAUCAAUCCCAAAUAUCCAGCCAUGGUGAUGGAGUAGUUGCAUGUUUUAAAUUCACAGAUUUUAUGAAAAAAAAAAAAAAAAAACAAAACAAAA